AGCCCUUUGUAGUUCGUAAGCAUGAUGAUUGGGUGUUCAUGUGUAAGAUGUGCCUCCCUCAAACCUUGGAAAGAUGUUGACACAUUACCCGUCUGACA
Small nucleolar RNA from Otolemur garnettii (small-eared galago), 98 nucleotides. The record is from Ensembl. Lineage: Eukaryota; Metazoa; Chordata; Mammalia; Primates; Galagidae.